RNAcentral lists this ribosomal RNA (2907 nucleotides) under Escherichia coli. Its description in RNAcentral is "bacterial LSU rRNA". It matches the Rfam family "Bacterial large subunit ribosomal RNA". Lineage: Bacteria; Pseudomonadati; Pseudomonadota; Gammaproteobacteria; Enterobacterales; Enterobacteriaceae. The record is from RNAcentral.
GAGGUUAAGCGACUAAGCGUACACGGUGGAUGCCCUGGCAGUCAGAGGCGAUGAAGGACGUGCUAAUCUGCGAUAAGCGUCGGUAAGGUGAUAUGAACCGUUAUAACCGGCGAUUUCCGAAUGGGGAAACCCAGUGUGUUUCGACACACUAUCAUUAACUGAAUCCAUAGGUUAAUGAGGCGAACCGGGGGAACUGAAACAUCUAAGUACCCCGAGGAAAAGAAAUCAACCGAGAUUCCCCCAGUAGCGGCGAGCGAACGGGGAGCAGCCCAGAGCCUGAAUCAGUGUGUGUGUUAGUGGAAGCGUCUGGAAAGGCGCGCGAUACAGGGUGACAGCCCCGUACACAAAAAUGCACAUGCUGUGAGCUCGAUGAGUAGGGCGGGACACGUGGUAUCCUGUCUGAAUAUGGGGGGACCAUCCUCCAAGGCUAAAUACUCCUGACUGACCGAUAGUGAACCAGUACCGUGAGGGAAAGGCGAAAAGAACCCCGGCGAGGGGAGUGAAAAAGAACCUGAAACCGUGUACGUACAAGCAGUGGGAGCACGCUUAGGCGUGUGACUGCGUACCUUUUGUAUAAUGGGUCAGCGACUUAUAUUCUGUAGCAAGGUUAACCGAAUAGGGGAGCCGAAGGGAAACCGAGUCUUAACUGGGCGUUAAGUUGCAGGGUAUAGACCCGAAACCCGGUGAUCUAGCCAUGGGCAGGUUGAAGGUUGGGUAACACUAACUGGAGGACCGAACCGACUAAUGUUGAAAAAUUAGCGGAUGACUUGUGGCUGGGGGUGAAAGGCCAAUCAAACCGGGAGAUAGCUGGUUCUCCCCGAAAGCUAUUUAGGUAGCGCCUCGUGAAUUCAUCUCCGGGGGUAGAGCACUGUUUCGGCAAGGGGGUCAUCCCGACUUACCAACCCGAUGCAAACUGCGAAUACCGGAGAAUGUUAUCACGGGAGACACACGGCGGGUGCUAACGUCCGUCGUGAAGAGGGAAACAACCCAGACCGCCAGCUAAGGUCCCAAAGUCAUGGUUAAGUGGGAAACGAUGUGGGAAGGCCCAGACAGCCAGGAUGUUGGCUUAGAAGCAGCCAUCAUUUAAAGAAAGCGUAAUAGCUCACUGGUCGAGUCGGCCUGCGCGGAAGAUGUAACGGGGCUAAACCAUGCACCGAAGCUGCGGCAGCGACGCUUAUGCGUUGUUGGGUAGGGGAGCGUUCUGUAAGCCUGCGAAGGUGUGCUGUGAGGCAUGCUGGAGGUAUCAGAAGUGCGAAUGCUGACAUAAGUAACGAUAAAGCGGGUGAAAAGCCCGCUCGCCGGAAGACCAAGGGUUCCUGUCCAACGUUAAUCGGGGCAGGGUGAGUCGACCCCUAAGGCGAGGCCGAAAGGCGUAGUCGAUGGGAAACAGGUUAAUAUUCCUGUACUUGGUGUUACUGCGAAGGGGGGACGGAGAAGGCUAUGUUGGCCGGGCGACGGUUGUCCCGGUUUAAGCGUGUAGGCUGGUUUUCCAGGCAAAUCCGGAAAAUCAAGGCUGAGGCGUGAUGACGAGGCACUACGGUGCUGAAGCAACAAAUGCCCUGCUUCCAGGAAAAGCCUCUAAGCAUCAGGUAACAUCAAAUCGUACCCCAAACCGACACAGGUGGUCAGGUAGAGAAUACCAAGGCGCUUGAGAGAACUCGGGUGAAGGAACUAGGCAAAAUGGUGCCGUAACUUCGGGAGAAGGCACGCUGAUAUGUAGGUGAGGUCCCUCGCGGAUGGAGCUGAAAUCAGUCGAAGAUACCAGCUGGCUGCAACUGUUUAUUAAAAACACAGCACUGUGCAAACACGAAAGUGGACGUAUACGGUGUGACGCCUGCCCGGUGCCGGAAGGUUAAUUGAUGGGGUUAGCGCAAGCGAAGCUCUUGAUCGAAGCCCCGGUAAACGGCGGCCGUAACUAUAACGGUCCUAAGGUAGCGAAAUUCCUUGUCGGGUAAGUUCCGACCUGCACGAAUGGCGUAAUGAUGGCCAGGCUGUCUCCACCCGAGACUCAGUGAAAUUGAACUCGCUGUGAAGAUGCAGUGUACCCGCGGCAAGACGGAAAGACCCCGUGAACCUUUACUAUAGCUUGACACUGAACAUUGAGCCUUGAUGUGUAGGAUAGGUGGGAGGCUUUGAAGUGUGGACGCCAGUCUGCAUGGAGCCGACCUUGAAAUACCACCCUUUAAUGUUUGAUGUUCUAACGUUGACCCGUAAUCCGGGUUGCGGACAGUGUCUGGUGGGUAGUUUGACUGGGGCGGUCUCCUCCUAAAGAGUAACGGAGGAGCACGAAGGUUGGCUAAUCCUGGUCGGACAUCAGGAGGUUAGUGCAAUGGCAUAAGCCAGCUUGACUGCGAGCGUGACGGCGCGAGCAGGUGCGAAAGCAGGUCAUAGUGAUCCGGUGGUUCUGAAUGGAAGGGCCAUCGCUCAACGGAUAAAAGGUACUCCGGGGAUAACAGGCUGAUACCGCCCAAGAGUUCAUAUCGACGGCGGUGUUUGGCACCUCGAUGUCGGCUCAUCACAUCCUGGGGCUGAAGUAGGUCCCAAGGGUAUGGCUGUUCGCCAUUUAAAGUGGUACGCGAGCUGGGUUUAGAACGUCGUGAGACAGUUCGGUCCCUAUCUGCCGUGGGCGCUGGAGAACUGAGGGGGGCUGCUCCUAGUACGAGAGGACCGGAGUGGACGCAUCACUGGUGUUCGGGUUGUCAUGCCAAUGGCACUGCCCGGUAGCUAAAUGCGGAAGAGAUAAGUGCUGAAAGCAUCUAAGCACGAAACUUGCCCCGAGAUGAGUUCUCCCUGACUCCUUGAGAGUCCUGAAGGAACGUUGAAGACGACGACGUUGAUAGGCCGGGUGUGUAAGCGCAGCGAUGCGUUGAGCUAACCGGUACUAAUGAACCGUGAGGCUUAACCUUA